This 661-nucleotide ribosomal RNA is filed under the name uncultured beta proteobacterium. RNAcentral describes it as "bacterial SSU rRNA". It matches the Rfam family "Bacterial small subunit ribosomal RNA", at positions 762 to 1429 of the family's 1533-position model. The record is from RNAcentral. Lineage: Bacteria; Pseudomonadati; Pseudomonadota; Betaproteobacteria.
UGGGGAGCAAACAGGAUUAGAUACCCUGGUAGUCCACGCCCUAAACGAUGUCUACUAGUUGUUGGGGCUCUCGAGCCUUGGUAACGCAGCUAACGCGUGAAGUAGACCGCCUGGGGAGUACGGUCGCAAGAUUAAAACUCAAAGGAAUUGACGGGGACCCGCACAAGCGGUGGAUGAUGUGGAUUAAUUCGAUGCAACGCGAAAAACCUUACCUACACUUGACAUGCCAAGAAGUUUCUAGAGAUAGAUUCGUGCUCGAAAGAGAGCUUGGACACAGGUGCUGCAUGGCUGUCGUCAGCUCGUGUCGUGAGAUGUUGGGUUAAGUCCCGCAACGAGCGCAACCCUUAUCAUUAGUUGCUACGCAAGGCACUCUAAUGAGACUGCCGGUGACAAACCGGAGGAAGGUGGGGAUGACGUCAAGUCCUCAUGGCCCUUAUGUGUAGGGCUUCACACGUCAUACAAUGGUCGGUACAGAGGGUAGCCAACCCGCGAGGGGGAGCCAAUCUCAGAAAACCGAUCUCAGUCCGGAUCGUAGUCUGCAACUCGACUACGUGAAGUCGGAAUCGCUAGUAAUCGCGGAUCAGCAUGUCGCGGUGAAUACGUUCCCGGGUCUUGUACACACCGCCCGUCAAACCAUGGGAGUGGGUUUCACCAGAAGUAG